Molecule: long non-coding RNA, 798 nt
Organism: Zalophus californianus (California sea lion)
Lineage: Eukaryota; Metazoa; Chordata; Mammalia; Carnivora; Otariidae
Exons: 3
Source: RefSeq, a predicted model, not a curated record
CCACGAGCUGCUUAGGAGUCGGGAUGGUUGCAGAUGUUGGCCGCAUUCUGUUCAGCAAGAACUGAGCACCCACAAAUGGACACAAGGCCAGGUCAGUGGGAGACCCCAGCAACAUGGUGACCAAAAGGAUCUGGGGAAGGGUCGCAGCCCGCAAUUCACGCACUCCUCUGACACGUGAGCCGGCCAGGCCGCAGGGGCUGGGGGGUCCUGUCCGCAAAGGUGGCCGGACAGGCCUUGGGAUCCCUCAGUCCAUGCUCGGGGCGCCCCCACCGCCCGGCGCAAGGCGAGCUACCCACCACGAGCCUUCAACCCCAGCGGAGCAGAGACCGUUUUCCUUGAAUCAGCAUGCAGCACCACGCAGCGUUCCCCACAGGGGCACAUAUUGAGAAAAUGAAAUUCAAAUCACCCCUCUGGUCUGUUACAUUUCCCAGAAUGGUUCCCAGCGCUGGAGAUAAUUCCUUUUCGGAGAACCUACAUUUCUCACCUGCUGAUUGCAAUUAGCCGCUGCCAGCUGGGGCCUGGUGUGCAGCUGAAAAGCUAACAAGAAGUGGAGACCACGCGGAACCCAGACGGGGCAGAGGAUGUGAAUAAAUAAGGAAGAGUGCUCGUGUGUAUGAGCCACUCCCGUGAAUCCGAGGCUUCCCGACCCUCUGGACGGCCCUCCCUCUUCGGGCUCUGUGCUCCCCACCCCCCCCCACUAUUUUUUGUUUGUUUGUUUGUUGUUUCUGGCUUUGUAGCCUACACUUAACAUCACAGUCACGACUUUGCCACUAAGUGCAUUUUGUUAGGCAAUAAACA